CCCUUAGAUGCUCUGGGCCGCACGCGCGCUACACUGGUCGAUGCAACGAGUUUGUUUCCUUGAUCGAAAGGUCUGGGUAAUCUUUGAAAGGUAGUCGUGAUGGGGAUAGAUCCUUGCAAUUUUUGAUCUUCAACGAGGAAUUCCUAGUAAACGCAAGUCAUCAGCUUGCAUUGAUUACGUCCCUGCCCUUUGUACACACCGCCCGUCGCACCUACCGAUUGAAUGGUCCGGUGAAUCUUUAGGACUGUGGCUGAGGCCUUGCCUUGUGCGGGUCUGGCCGUGGGAAUUUAGUUAAACCUUACCAUUUAGAGGAAGGAGAAGUCGUAACA
Molecule: ribosomal RNA, 329 nt
Filed under: uncultured eukaryote
Lineage: Eukaryota
Description: partial 18S ribosomal RNA
Rfam family: Eukaryotic small subunit ribosomal RNA
Source: RNAcentral